Molecule: ribosomal RNA, 247 nt
Filed under: uncultured bacterium
Lineage: Bacteria
Description: partial 16S ribosomal RNA
Rfam family: Bacterial small subunit ribosomal RNA
Source: RNAcentral
AUACGUAGGGUGCGAGCGUUGUCCGGAUUUAUUGGGCGUAAAGGGCUCGUAGGUGGUUGAUCGCGUCGGAAGUGUAAUCUUGGGGCUUAACCCUGAGCGUGCUUUCGAUACGGGUUGACUUGAGGAAGGUAGGGGAGAAUGGAAUUCCUGGUGGAGCGGUGGAAUGCGCAGAUAUCAGGAGGAACACCAGUGGCGAAGGCGGUUCUCUGGGCCUUUCCUGACGCUGAGGAGCGAAAGCGUGGGGAGC